This 78-nucleotide small RNA is filed under the name Novosphingobium mathurense. RNAcentral describes it as "suhB". It matches the Rfam family "Makes More Granules Regulator RNA (mmgR)". From Rfam's summary of the family: SuhB later renamed mmgR (makes more granules regulator) was a putative non-coding RNA found multiple times in the Agrobacterium tumefaciens genome and related alpha-proteobacteria. Other non-coding RNAs uncovered in the same analysis include: speF, ybhL, metA, and serC. The record is from RNAcentral. Lineage: Bacteria; Pseudomonadati; Pseudomonadota; Alphaproteobacteria; Sphingomonadales; Sphingomonadaceae.
GGAGCGGGCCUUUCAGGCAUCCUCUCCCAAAAAACUUUCAAGGGCUGGUCUUCGGACCGGCCCAUUUUUUUUGGCCGC